CUAUUUUUCUUGAUAGUUAAGAUGGAGAAGGCUUCAUUGAUUGUGUUUUUGCUAGUCACUUCUUUGUUCUUUUCAUGUGAUAUUGUGAUGGGACAAAAAUGUUCUUCGAUUUCAGAUUGUCAUGGAAUAUGCAAAAUUGGAUAUCGAGUAUGUACUAAGGGCAUGUGUAAUUGUUGUAUUGGUAGGCCAUUAUGCCAUAAUGAUCAAAAAAGUAUUGACUUUGGUCCCAAAGUUAGGACUUUAGAAGACUCAUCUUUUUAAUUACUUUGUUAAAAGCUAUUUAUUUUUGUCAUGCAAAUGUAUUUGCAUUGAAGAAAUUAACUCUUAUAUAUAACUUAGUCGUUUUGUUGAA
Capsicum annuum is the source of this 352-nucleotide long non-coding RNA. RefSeq lists it as uncharacterized. NCBI's taxonomy places the organism in Eukaryota, Viridiplantae, Streptophyta, Magnoliopsida, Solanales, Solanaceae. The transcript has 2 exons. The record is from RefSeq and is a predicted model, not a curated record.